UCCCUGGUGGUCUAGUGGUUAGGACUUGGCGCUCUUACUGCUGGGGCCCGGGUUCAAUCUCUGGUCUGGGAA
Molecule: transfer RNA, 72 nt
Filed under: Sus scrofa (pig)
Lineage: Eukaryota; Metazoa; Chordata; Mammalia; Artiodactyla; Suidae
Rfam family: tRNA
About the family: Transfer RNA (tRNA) molecules are approximately 80 nucleotides in length. Their secondary structure includes four short double-helical elements and three loops (D, anti-codon, and T loops).
Source: Rfam by way of RNAcentral